GAGAGAGAGAGAGAGAGAGAGAAAAGGUUGGACCAUAGAUGUGGGAGGCAGUUGUUUCAUGGAAUCACUCUUCACCUGGCUUGAUUUUUUUAAGAUAAGAUUGGAGUACCAUGAGAGCAACUGUGAAGUUUUUGUGAGUACGUCGACAUUUUGGGGUGAUAGAGGAAGAUAAAACACAGCGGAGCAGAAAAAUGGCACGGCUAUCCGGAUCUCGAGGGCAACAACCGCCCCAGCCGAUGGAGACGUCGCAGCGGCAACACGUCAUCUCACGUGGGGUGAUGGUGAGGACAAAGCCAGAAAAUCCCAGAUGAAGGCAUACCGGUUUGAUUCUUCAGCACUGGAAAGAGCCGCUCAGGCAGCAAGCGAACUCAAAAACUCCCAGACAAGUCAUUAGAUUCAGCGAAUCACGGUGACUACUGCAUACUAUCAGCCGAUUGGCUAUGACCAACAGAAUUAAAUCGCCAAGAGCAGCAUGCAGUAAAAGAGCCAUUGACACUGGCACGCAAAAGAGGCCCUCGAGCUGUCGAAGCUGUAGGAAAUGACGUGGCAGCGAGAGUAUGCCUCGAAACUGAAGGAGUCCGAGGCACACAUUGAGAGAUGGUGGAGCAGCAGCUCGUGGUGACAGAGGAGCGGCACAAGACGCUGCAACAGGAGACGAAGCACCACCGUGUGCGCACGCAGCACUAGGACCAGCUGGCAUGCAAGAGGUGUUUGUGUAGGUCAUCCAGCAGUUACAGCAGAUGCGUUGCGGAGAAUUCACACGAGGCGGCAAAGAGUCUGCAUCUGCUCUCUGUCGGUGGCAUUCGGCACUACGUGGGCCGACUGCUCGCCAGCUCUGUCAGCUGCUGCCCUCUCACGGCACUCCCACACACUUUGUGCAGCCGCCCGAGUGCAGAGUCCCACCGUUAAGGCGCCAUCACUCUUCCAGAUGCUCGGUCCACCACGGCAGGAAGCAAUAGACGGACUGCUGUGACGGCGUCUUGAAACAAAAACUGCGAGAUUCGUAACACUGCUCCACCAGCCGCACAGUUCGUCAGAGGCGUAGCUCCGCAGACUGCCAUCUGGGGAAGUGAGGGCACUGUCGGCAGUGGCGCCUGUCCGGCCAGUCGCUGCGUGGCGCCCCCUGCAGGCACUCUGCCGAUGCGGCGCCGGGCCACGGGAAAUGUGGAAAGCAGGAAGAACUUACUGUGGUGUCCCGUGAUGUGAGAAUGAAAGUGCAUAUUCCCCCGAGAGAGGGUAGUAUGUAUUGUAACGGCAGCACGGCAGGUGUGUGGGAAAGGAAUGAUUUUAGGCGGUUCUUCAAUUCUCUCUAUUUAAAUAUAAACUGGUAAGACGACAGCAGAUGACGGGAGCACUGUGUGAUGCAAGUACUGCUACCGAUGUGAGAUUUGUGUACUGCAGACACGAGUAAAUUCAGUGAGAGAUCACAACUGAAGAUACAUUCUAACUGUAAGGCUUGUACGGCAGUAAUUUGAGUAUUGUGCAGGUUACAUUAGUGUAACAUAGCAUCAUACACUUUGAUAGGAAAUUGUUUCCAGUAAUUAGGUAAUGUAGGGGACUGUAUCAAACAACUACUGUUAAUGUAGCUGGGUUAGACAACCAUUGAUAUUGCACCUGACUUCAGGGUGAGUGUGUAUAGUGACCAUCACCACGCUCUUGUAGCCCAGUAUUAAUUUUGAAGUAAGUUAAUAAUUUACACGGCUGGUCACAUUUUCACAGCACUUGGCACAAUGAGUUAGACACUGUAGGGAGAGGUAGCAACAGUAGAACGUGUAUAAACAGUUUUCAUAAUACUCAUCUUUCCUUUUUCUUCUUUGUUGUAAGGCUUGUAGUACAUUCUGAAAUGCAACUUUGUAUACUGGUCUAGAAGGUACUCAGCUUCACUUUUUUUAAAAAAUAAUAAUACAAACUUUGGAGGACUUUAUGUUGUCGAAUACAUAUAUUUUCAGUUAUUUCGCGUGCCGAGCUUUCACGUGCGUGCCGAUCGCUCCCUUCUGACGUCACACGUCCCCCACUACCACACCAGCUGACUGCACGCACUUGCGCGGAACUACGAACGCGCCGCAUGCGACAGUGCAUUCGCGUAAGGAACUGUCUUGUCCCACUGACGUGUCCUGAGAGGGAGUGGAAGGACUGCGUUGGUGCGCGUCAGAGAACUUACUUGGCAUGAGGUCUCGGUGGUGUGGGCCGCCAACUCUUCUCUGCUCCGUUGUAGAGAAGGCUGCAAGGUGAGCUAGAGUACGGAACUCGGAUAGGAUCUUAGGGAAGCUUUCAUGUAUGAACACUCGAUGUAUAGAACGAUUAUCCUGGAAGUACCCCUGGCACUUGUGAUUUAAAUAAGAUUCUAUAUACAGUCUCUAAUGAUUGUCAAUCUGGCUAUGCAGUUGCUAUUCCUAACUUCCCGAACCUAAGUCCUAAUACAGCAGAGGCGAGCACACCAGACUAAGUGUCGGCUGUGUCGAUUCAGCCUAAGUCCCUACUUGUUGCUGUGCUCAAUACUCUCCUGCAACUCUUGCAGCAUCCCGAUGCAGACUAACGUGGACCGGCGUCCUAAGUACCUCACUCCAUCACUGUCCUUCGAUCUAGCGGCUAUCCGCUUUUAUAGGGGUAGUGCACCCGGCACCACUUGUUCUAGAAGGUUCUAGCACCCCCGAACUUUGAGCCCUGAGUAGGCUAGUCACGCGGCAGCAUGUGAUGCCUACGUGAUGAACUAGCCAUUCUCCACUGUUUGCUGUGUCCAAGGGUUGCCACUAACUGUGCUUGAGCCUCGUGAUACUGCAUACUCCGCUCUUGUUAGUCGAGUACACAUUACACAUGAGAUAGUCUGGUCACGUCCGCCUCGCUUGAUCUGUAGCAAUAAUUUUCCAGCCUACAGCCUACAUGAUUUUAAUUCUAUCUUCUACUAUUCGCGACACCUCCCCUUCCCCAGGGGAAAAUUUUGUAAGCUCGGUCCCUUGAGAUUACAAAAUUUUCGCUUUCUACUCGCGGUGCCAGUAAAACUUACCAGUCUUUAUUGCCAUCAAGACUUGACAUUAUAAACA
Molecule: long non-coding RNA, 3041 nt
Organism: Schistocerca nitens (vagrant locust)
Lineage: Eukaryota; Metazoa; Arthropoda; Insecta; Orthoptera; Acrididae
Exons: 6
Source: RefSeq, a predicted model, not a curated record